GGAGUCCGGAAGCUAAUGCUUAGAGGACCUACAACAAACUUUUGAGUGUCUUGUAUUACAAAAUAGAUCUCUGGAAACUAUGAGAAAAAAUAUUAUUUCAUUUAGAUGCUGUGAGUACACUUUAUGAGAAAGGAAAAGAAAAGGACAAAAUAUUAAGACAUGAUAUACAAUUUAAGCUUUCAUAUCCAAUGAUUAUUUAAACAUGGUAAUCGAGAUAAGUUUGUCCCUUCAAAUACCCUAAGUUUCCUGAUGGAUGAAAUAAGCUUUUGGGUUCAAGUAAACCAAAAGAAGAGGAGAGCAAACCAAAAGAAAACUUGCUCUAGCAUUUGCCCCUUCAAAGCCACAUAUUGCUUAUGCUUCUACUCCAUGUUUUCCUUGCUUAAAGUGAAAUAAAGCUAAUAUAUUAUUAGAAUGGGGAUCUAUCUUAGAAAAUUCAUUCAAUGGCUACUGCCCCUUCAAAGCCACACGUUGCUUCUGCUUCGGCUUCGGCUUCUACCCCUCCAUGCCCUUCAUGCUCGAUGUGAAACAAAGCCAUCGUGUUGGAUUGGGGAUGCAUUCUAGAGAAGUCAUUCUAUGGCAACAGCUUGCUUCUGCUUCUGCUCAUCCAUUCUAUUCAAGCUUUACCUGAAACAAAGCAAGCACAGAAAUGGGGGCAAGGAGCAUAUUCCAUUCCCAGACGAUUCGCAUAGAAUAGGCUCCUCUUCUCCUUGCCCCGUCUAGGCUCCUCUUCUCCUUGCCCUAAAGGCCCCCGCCUCUUGGUUCCACGCGGAUGCUGUCCGCAUAGCACGUUCUCCGCGGACCAAGACAGAAUGGUAGGUUCUCUGCGGAAGCGUCCGCAUAGCAGGUCCUCCGCAUAAUAACUUCUAUGCGGGAUCUGCCCGCAUAUUAGGUACUAUGCGGAAUCUGUCCGCAUAAACGGCUUGUCCAAUAUAACCUUCUAUGCGGAAACAGUACGCAUAUAACCAUUUAUGCGAAAUCAGUCCGUACAGACCGUUUGUCCGCAUAGGACCUUCUAUGCGGAUUGUGUCCACAUAAACGGUUUGUCCGCAUAAGACCUUCUAUGCGGAAUCAGUCCGCAUAAACGGACUGUCCGCAGACAACCUUCUGUGCGGAUUGUGUCCGCAUAAACAACUGUCCGCAUACAACCUUCUAUGCGGAUUAUGUCCGCAUAACCAGUUUUCCACAGUAGGACCUUCUAUGCGGAUUGUGUCCGCCUAGUAGGUCCUAUGAGGACAGAUUCCGCAUAGUAGGUCGUAUGCGGAUAAAGUAUGAAUAAACAAGUACGCAAAGUAGUUUUGCACUUAGGGCUAGUUUGGUUUGCGAAAAUAUUUUUCCUCCUAAAAAUAUAAUUUCUGAAAAACAAAUUUUAAUAAAAAAAAUGCCUAAAAAAAAUAUUUUUAACAUGUUUGAUUAGCCUUUUUCUAAAAAAAUAUUUUUAGCAUAUUUAGUUGAUAAUAAAAAAAUAAUAAAUUUUUAAAAUAUUUAUUUUAGUUGGCCAUUCACUUUCUUAAAAAAAUUAUAUAUAAUUUCUAUAAUACCUUUAAUAAAAAUUAAAUCUUUAAUAAUUUUUUAAUGCUUCUUUAGUACUGAACGAUUUUUUGAAAAAAAUAAAAAUAAAAUAAUUCCCGUCUUACUUUUCCAUGUUUCUCAUAGAAAAAACUUUUCUAUAAAAUAUAGAAAUCAUAUUCCAAUGAAAAUACAAAUUUCUUAUCUCUCUUGA
RNAcentral lists this long non-coding RNA (1720 nucleotides) under Phoenix dactylifera (date palm). RNAcentral's name for it is "long non-coding RNA (PDAC_LNC001038)". Lineage: Eukaryota; Viridiplantae; Streptophyta; Magnoliopsida; Arecales; Arecaceae. The record is from RNAcentral.